CCAAUAGCGUAUAUUAAAGUUGUUGCAGUUAAAAAGCUCGUAGUUGAAUUUCGGGAUCAAUAUAUCGGUCAUGCUUAGGUAUGUACUGGUAUUAUUGAUUUCUCCCUUCUGAAGAACCAUGAUGUCAUUAAUUUGAUGUCGUGGGGAAUCAGGACUGUUACUUUGAAAAAAUUAGAGUGUUUAAAGCAGGCAUACGCUUGAAUACAUUAGCAUGGAAUAAUGAAAUAGGACGUUUGAUUCUAUUUUGUUGGUUUCUAGGAUCGACGUAAUGAUUAAUAGGGAUAGUUGGGGGCAUUAGUAUUCAAUUGUCAGAGGUGAAAUUCUUGGAUUUAUUGAAGACUAACUACUGCGAAAGCAUUUGCCAAGGAUGUUUUCAUUAAUCAAGAACGAAAGUUAGGGGAUCGAAGACGAUCAGAUACCGUCGUAGUCUUAACCAUAAACUAUGCCGACUAGGGAUCGGAUGAUGUUAAUUUUUUAAUGACUCAUUCGGCGCCUUACG
RNAcentral lists this ribosomal RNA (499 nucleotides) under uncultured Glomus. RNAcentral describes it as "SSU rRNA". It matches the Rfam family "Eukaryotic small subunit ribosomal RNA", at positions 591 to 1092 of the family's 1831-position model. Lineage: Eukaryota; Fungi; Glomeromycota; Glomeromycetes; Glomerales; Glomeraceae. The record is from RNAcentral.